UUUUUUGAAUCGCUGAGUUCCACAUGGGAACGGGGGAACCAUCAUCGAAAAGUUUUUGAUUUUUCUAGAAACCAAAACUUUUCUAUGGGGUGAAUCUUAAUAAAGAUACUUGUCUUUUUAAGUAGGGUGACUCUUACAUCCGAAUCCGUCAGCUAACCUCGUAAGCGUAUUGAAGAGAUGUU
Molecule: small RNA, 182 nt
Filed under: Bacillus sp. (in: firmicutes)
Lineage: Bacteria; Bacillati; Bacillota; Bacilli; Caryophanales; Bacillaceae
Also listed under: 1 other name
Description: Bacillus sp. c-di-AMP sequence
Rfam family: c-di-AMP riboswitch aptamer (ydaO/yuaA leader)
About the family: This family represents a conserved RNA structure found upstream of the ydaO and yuaA genes in Bacillus subtilis and related genes in other bacteria. The ydaO/yuaA element is thought to act as a genetic "off" switch for the ydaO and yuaA genes in its native state.
Source: RNAcentral